GGGCAAUCGUUAAUGUGAAGGAAAAUCCCCCACUCAUUAAAAUCAAUUACAUGCAGUUAGAUUGAUCAGCUUUUGUCAGAAAGGAGCGAGUCAAACCCUUUUACUAACUUCCCCUCCCCAGCAAGUCCCCAUCCUGCCGCCGGUUUCUCCCCCAUCAACCUUAGCUGGUUCUGUAGCAAUCUCAGGCCCUCGCCCAGUGAGUCCCGCCAUCCUGGUCCUGUUUCCCUCGCUGAGGAGGUCAAUUUUUCUGGACUUAACUUCAGCUCUCGGCCACUUUCUAUCGAUCUGUUCUCUGGCUGGGCUGAACUGGACGCCAGGUUUCUCUUGGGGGUCCACAUUCUCACAGGCUCACCACCACUCCUCACCCAGGAAUACAACUUCAAGGAAAGAUGCUAAGUGAUUUGAAUCUCUUCCACUUGGAGCUGUGCUGGACCUUCAUUGCAGCAUGUGGGCUUCUUAGUUUCAGCACAUGGGAUCUAAUUCCCUGACCAGGGAUCAAAUCUGGGCCGUCCUGCAUUGGGAGCAUGGAAUCUUACCCACUGGACCACCAGGUGCCAGAAGAAGCUUAAAAGGAGGAUGCAGAAGGUAACCAAAAGUUAGCAGCAGCAGGAAUCCACGCACCUAGACUGAAGGGAUGAAAGGAGGAAGCGGUAAUGUCUCAGCUCAGGGCCUGAUGGAACCAGAAACCACAAGAGAUACUGACUGACCUCCUGGGGAUUCUGGCCUCUUCUUUGCUGAACUCCAAAGACUUCACUUCAACGUUUCAGCUCAAUUGGUCCCAAAUAUUCCUCUGAAGGACUCUUCUCAUCCACAGGCAAUUGGAGCUCUGUAAUGACAGGCAAAUAAGGGUCUUAUAUUCCCAGCUCAGAUGCGUACCUGUGGGUACCUCCCUGAGAAUUUUGACUCAAGUUGGAUUCCUUCCUUGGAGAAAAUUAAUUCAGAGGUAGAAAUGGAAGCAUGAUUUUCCUGAGCUGCCAGCACACCCAGAGCCAAUCCUAUCCCUGAAACAGAUAUGACUAAUAUAACAAAUAAUAAACAGAACUUCUCCCAUCUGUCUGCUGACCACCUUCGGCAUUACUGGAAAAUGUGCUGCCCAUUUAAUUGCAAAACAAAACUUUAUUUCUCUAUUGUAAUCACCACUCUUUGGG
This is a long non-coding RNA of Bos taurus (domestic cattle), 1148 nucleotides long. Lineage: Eukaryota; Metazoa; Chordata; Mammalia; Artiodactyla; Bovidae. The record is from Ensembl.